Molecule: ribosomal RNA, 461 nt
Filed under: uncultured bacterium
Lineage: Bacteria
Description: partial 16S ribosomal RNA
Rfam family: Bacterial small subunit ribosomal RNA
Source: RNAcentral
CCUACGGGUGGCAGCAGUGAGGAAUAUUGGUCAAUGGCCGGAAGGCUGAACCAGCCAAGUCGCGUGAGGGAAUAAGGCCCUAUGGGUCGUAAACCUCUUUUGUCAGGGAGCAAAGGCGUCCACGAGUGGACGAAAGGAGAGUACCUGAAGAAAAAGCAUCGGCUAACUCCGUGCCAGCAGCCGCGGUAAUACGGAGGAUGCGAGCGUUAUCCGGAUUUAUUGGGUUUAAAGGGUGCGUAGGUGGUUAAUUAAGUCAGCGGUGAAAGUUUGUGGCUCAACCAUAAAAUUGCCGUUGAAACUGGUUGACUUGAGUAUAUUUGAGGUAGGCGGAAUGCGUGGUGUAGCGGUGAAAUGCAUAGAUAUCACGCAGAACUCCGAUUGCGAAGGCAGCUUACUAAACUAUAACUGACACUGAAGCACGAAAGCGUGGGGAUCAAACAGGAUUAGAUACCCCAGUAGUC